Small nuclear RNA from Trichechus manatus latirostris (Florida manatee), 104 nucleotides. The record is from RefSeq and is a predicted model, not a curated record. NCBI's taxonomy places the organism in Eukaryota, Metazoa, Chordata, Mammalia, Sirenia, Trichechidae.
AUCAUUUCGGUAGCAUAUGUACUAAAAUUAGAAUGAUACAGAGAAGAGUAGCAUAGCCCCUGUGCAAGGAUGACACACAAGUUCAUGACUCAUCAUGUAUUUUU